UUUUUCAUUUUUGACGGAUUGAAGCUCGGGAAGAGGCAAUUUUUGGGAGAUUUUCAAGGAAUACAACGAAGUAAGUGUUCUUAACUCAUUAUUGGUCAAAUUACCCGAAUCCAUAGUUGUUUUAACAUUUAAUGGGUGAAUUAAGUUGGAAAGAUUAGAAAAUCCUCUUGGUUUAAUUUGAAGAUUUGAGGGUCGAGUUGAUGUUGGAUUAAGUAAAAUUGUUACGGUUAGACUCGUGGUUGAAUGGGCUUUCGAAUUUUGUAACUUUUAUCGGAUUCCGAGACGUGGGCCCCACGUGCGAUUUUUGAGUUAAAUUUUGGAUUUUUAUGGAAAAAUUAUAUUUUCAUAUGGAGUUAAUUCCAAUAAAAGUUAUUGACUGAAUCGAAUUAUUUAUGGCUAGAUUCGAGGCAUUUGGAGGCCAAUUCACGAGGCAAAGACCUAGCGGAAUAAAGAAUUUCACGGUUUGAGGUAAGUAACCGUUCUAAAUUUGGUCUUUAGGGUAUGAAACCCCGGAAUAUGUAUUAUGUGAUUCGUUUUGAGGUGACGCACAUGCUAGGUGACGGGCAUGUGGGUGUACACCAUAGAAAUUAUGACUUGGUCAAUUCCAUGGAACUGUGUAGUUGAAAAAUCUGUUGAUAUCCGUAGAUUUUUCCCCGUAUUAGAGAAAUUGAUCUAUGAAUCAUGUUUAAAUCAUAUGUUUACACUGUUGCUAAAUUACUGUUUUGCACUCACUCACAGUUCUAUUUGCACAUUUUUACCUCAGUCUCUCUUAUUCAUUAUUGAUGCAUCAUAUCAUUGUUGUUGGGCUGCUUAUCAUGAUUUCUGAGAGCCCAAGAGACUGGAGAGAUUGAUGAUUGAGUGAGGCCGAGGGCUUAAUUAUGAGGAUAUUUAUGGAUCGGGCUGCAUGCCAUAACAUGUUCAUUGAUUUAUGCCAUGGUUGGCUUGAUAUAGCGCUUGGGCUGAAGGAUCCCCUCCGGAGUCUGUACACACCCCCAGUGAGCGCAGGUACCUACUGAGUGCGAGUGUCGAGUGCCGAGUGAUGAGUGAUUGUGAGGAAAGAGUGACUGUGAGGUUGGAGUGAAUGGGAGGACUGAGUGACUGUUACUCUGAGAGGAUGCAUUGAUUUCAUUAUUUGCUGCAUUCCAGCUGUCAUAUAUCACUAUUUUGAAAAUUUCGGAAAAGAAAAAUAUUAUUUUUGGUUUCGGUAAAACUUGAUAUGAAAUUUCAGUGAAAUCUUAAAUGUCGAAUUUGAGAGCAUGCUUACUCUUUAAUAUUGGAAAGUAUUGUAUUUGGACCUAGCUGAGAAGUUCGUCACUACUUUCAGUUCCUUAUUUAUUAUUAUUACUUACUGAGUUGGUUGUACUCAUACUACACCCUGCACUUCGUGUGCAGAUCGAGGUAAUCUCGGAUACAGUGAGUGUUGAUUCUUUCGUACAAUCGAUUUUUCAGAGAUUUAGAGGUAGCUGUUUCGCAGACCUUGUCUCUCCUUCCCUAUCCCUUUGUUAUUGUAUUUGGUCUCAGAUUAUUAUUAUAGACCAGAUUUUUCCCAGACUUGUAAUGUAUAGAUGCUCAUGUACUUAGUGACACCAGAUUUUUGGAAUAUGUUUUACCUAGUAUUUGUGGAAUUUUCACUUAAGCUUAAAUUAUGAUGUUUUCCGUAUUUAAAAGAUAUUGUGGGUUAUUAACGAUGUCGGCUUUCCUAGUAUUGAGAUAGGCGCCAUCAUGACGGGUGUGAUUUUUGGGUCAUGACAAGUUGGUAUCAGAGCCUAAGUUACUGUCACGACCCAACUGGAGGGUCAUGACUAGCACCCGGGACAUACUUGCCGAGCAC
RNAcentral lists this long non-coding RNA (1831 nucleotides) under Nicotiana tabacum (common tobacco). RNAcentral's name for it is "long non-coding RNA (NTAB_LNC017685)". The record is from RNAcentral. Lineage: Eukaryota; Viridiplantae; Streptophyta; Magnoliopsida; Solanales; Solanaceae.